Molecule: ribosomal RNA, 879 nt
Filed under: Macrogastra densestriata
Lineage: Eukaryota; Metazoa; Mollusca; Gastropoda; Stylommatophora; Clausiliidae
Description: partial large subunit ribosomal RNA
Source: RNAcentral
UUAAAUUAGAAGCAGCUUGGUUCUUUCUUCCCGAAGUAAGAAGAUCUAAUUAUUUCUAUUUAUCUUAGGAUUUGUUAACCAUGGUGUAGCAAAACUAUAUGUAAAGGAAAAAUUAGGAGUGAAAGGCUUGUCAAUUCUUACUGAUAUCUGGAUUAAGCAUAAAUAUAUUUAGUAUAUAAACGACAUAUAAAAAACGCUAAGAUUUUUUAUAAAAAAAAGUAUGGGUUUAUGUGAAUAUACUAGUUUAUUAAUAUAAAGUAGUUUAUUUUAAAAUAAUUAUUAAUCUCCUAACUCUUUUUGAUCUUAGGCUUAUAAUGUAUUACAACUGUUAACACAUUCAAUAAUGUUUAAAUAAGUAUUACGAAUAAAAAGUCAUAAGGAACUCGGCAAAAAUAUUUUUCAACUGUUUAUCAAAAACAUAGCUAUCAGCAAACGUUAUUGUUAGUUUAUUCUGCCCAGUGAAAAAUUUAACGGCCGCAGUACACUGACUGUGCAAAGGUAGCAUAAUAAAUUGGCUUUUAAUUGGAGUCCUGUAUGAAAGAAAUAAUUGGAAAAAAGCUGUCUUAUGACUUUUCUUUAGAAUUUACUAAGAAAGUGCAAAUUCUUUCAAUUUUUUUUUAAAAGACGAGAAGACCCUAUAAAUUUUCAUAAAAGAAAGAAAUAAUUCUUUUUAAGUUUUUGUUGGGGCAACAAUUUAACAAUCAUUAGAAUAAUUUAAAUUAAAAAUAUGUUAUAAUCAAUCGAAUUUUAUUAACCAAAAAUAAAUUACUAUAGGGAUAACAGCAUAAUUUUAUAAAUAAGAUUGUGACCUCGAUGUUGGAUUAGGGUUCUAUUAAAUCAGUAAUUUAAUGGUUAGGUUCUGUUCGAACUGUGUUCCCU